UGGCUCCAGUAUAUGUGAAGUAUUUUUCCUUCUCAAAAAUCGACGAUAAAUAGUAGUUUAAUCGAGCGAAAGUUAUUCGCAAGUGAUACAUUGACUGAUUGUGGGUAAGCGUAAGGUGUUAUUUAGCGUAUCCGCGGUGGGGCCAGUGAGCAUAAGGGUGGCGAAAAAAGUUUCCUUCUGCGAGUGGUACAACACACACCUUUUCGGUGGGCAAAUAUUAAUUCUUUUGGGGUCGGUUGUCCAACGAAGCCAGUGUGGUUCUGUGAAGGGUGGCGAGCGGCGAUGCGGCCGUUUUGGUGUGGAAAAAAAAGAAAUAAAUAAAUGGGUGGCGAUGGUUUGUGUUCGUUGCGUUUCCCGUAGCCUGACGACCGCCUGCUAGGACAGGAAAAGAAGAAGACGGUGUCGGUCAGCAGCACAGCGAGGUAGAAGAAGCAGCAAAAAGUGAGAAGAAAAAAAAACGCAAAGAAUCGGAAACGACGUAAAAGAAGUCCGAAACAGAGCACAAAAAUCGCUCCGAGCUUCCCGUGUGGUGCGCGGUGAAGUAGCUUGCGGUUGGUAGUCGCGUAUUGUAGCGACACUUACUCUACGCACGCCAUUGCCACCGCUAUCGCCACUUCCGCCCGUGGCUAGUGGGCUGUACAAAAUAAAAUCGAGCGUCUCGGGCCAGUGAAGAACGUGAAAAAGUUGUCAUUAAUUUCUUCGUGCACCAAAGCGCGCUAUCCAAACGUUCGACUGCUCCCGCGGAUUAUCCGGAAGUUUCGUCCAGUUCCUUCAUUCCUGAUCCGCGCGACUGCAAAACUGCGCAAACAUCCAACGCGCGAGUUUGGUGUCGUUCACACACCGACGACCUGGUUGGUGCCAAAGCAGCGCAUUGAUGCGUGUACAUGAGUGACAAGUUCAAGCGGCAUAAAAGUAUACCAGUCCCGAAUUUUCGAUUAGUGCGCUGUGAAUAAUCCCCGUCCCUGAGUCGCUCGCUCACAUGCCCAUAAAAACGGGGAGGCACAACUACAGGCAGUCAAUUUGACAGAAAAAGAACUGUCAGCGGGGUUGCAUAAUUGCAUCGAGAUUCUAUCGACGUGCAAGCAGCCGUGUCCCAUUGCGUUGCGAGAGAAAUCACCAACACAUCGACGGCGGCGAAUUGUUUGUCGAUCGUGAGCAGAUCGUUUCUGUUCCGUGCUGCUGUCUCCCGAUCGCAGAUUGUCGUACGUGCGUACAGAGAGAAGAAAAAAACAAUUUGGGUGGGUAAAUGUCAACAGAAAAUUGAACAACAACGCCCCUCCGUGCAUC
Molecule: long non-coding RNA, 1287 nt
Organism: Anopheles nili
Lineage: Eukaryota; Metazoa; Arthropoda; Insecta; Diptera; Culicidae
Exons: 3
Source: RefSeq, a predicted model, not a curated record